RNAcentral lists this ribosomal RNA (447 nucleotides) under uncultured bacterium. Its description in RNAcentral is "partial 16S ribosomal RNA". It matches the Rfam family "Bacterial small subunit ribosomal RNA", at positions 29 to 523 of the family's 1533-position model. The record is from RNAcentral.
AACGAACGCUGGCGGCAGGCUUAACACAUGCAAGUCGAACGCCCCGCAAGGGGAGUGGCGCACGGGUGAGUAACGCGUGGGAAUAUGCCCUUCGGUUCGGAAUAACACAGGGAAACUUGUGCUAAUACCGGAUACGAUCUACGGAUGAAAGAUUUAUCGCCGAGGGAGUAGCCCGCGUAGGAUUAGCUAGUUGGUGAGGUAAUGGCUCACCAAGGCGACGAUCCUUGGCUGGUCUGAGAGGAUGAUCAGCCACACUGGGACUGAGACACGGCACAGACUCCUACGGGAGGCAGCAGUGGGGAAUAUUGGACAAUGGGGGAAACCCUGAUCCAGCCAUGCCGCGUGAGUGAUGAAGGCCUUAGGGUUGUAAAGCUCUUUCGCCAGGGAAGAUAAUGACGGUACCUGGAAAAGAAGCCUCGGCUAACUCCGUGCCAGCCGCCGCGGUAA